Long non-coding RNA from Danaus plexippus (monarch butterfly), 1032 nucleotides. RefSeq lists it as uncharacterized. The record is from RefSeq and is a predicted model, not a curated record. Lineage: Eukaryota; Metazoa; Arthropoda; Insecta; Lepidoptera; Nymphalidae. The transcript has 4 exons.
UCGUUACUUUUCAUUCUGAUUCAACGAAAAGAGCCGUUGAGACCUAGCUGAUUCAUAUUAGAAACUUCUAGUUAACUCUGCUUGAAUAUCUGUGCUUUUGCUUCUGUAUUUAUUACGGGCCGUGGAUUAUUGUUUAACUAGAUUAUUGCUUCUUUUCUUAAUUACUAAAUAUUAACUGUCGCCGAUUUCAUUUUGCACGGGUUUAAUGCCGGAUUAAUUUUUUUGCGAUGUAGGUACCUACACGUGUACAACAAGAAGAUCCAUUGCAUUUCCUGCUUCUGGAUAAGAAAGUGAAAAAGAGUGACGUGGCGUUAUUGAUUUAAAGGAUCUGUUUAAGUAUACCAAAGAAUUGAAACAGCCUGAACACACUGAGCUGGUUAAUAGAAGCAGCUCAGUGUUACUCAGAAACACAAAUUACUUCAGAGAAGCAAGCAAAAAUUUUAUGUUGCUUGACCGCUUGCUUGCUUGUACCAUUUCCUCUGGCUCCAUCCUCUGCUAAAUGUAUCUCGCUUCCAUACAGCUGUUGCUUUGAGCUUGAGAAAACAUUCUUGGAUUAUAACAUGAAGAAAAUGGUUACCAAGGAUUAAUAUUUUUAAAAAAGAUGGCGUUGAAGAGCUGCCUCAGAGAUUUUCACAUUCAGAUAACACAAGACACUAAGGAGUUGUCACAGGGAGCUCAGUACUGCAGGAAGCAUUGGUCGACUCUCCUGCCCCCGGGGACUAUCAGGAUCUAACAGCCCGUGAGCUGACGGAGGCCGCAGCAGCCAGCGUCCAGUCCAGAAGAGUAACAUACCUCAUGUGGCAAAAUCAGACAGGCCUUUCAUCCAUGACCCUGUAAACGUUGUUAGCUUUACCUGCGCCUUUAGUCUACACUAAAUUAUAAUAACAAUUUACUCUGCUAACGUUUUGUUAGAUGAUGAAGAUCGAUUUGACAUCAAAUCAACCCCAACAUAUCAGAAUGUUUGCUCUUGGUAUUUGUGGAAAUUAAUUCCCGAUGAUAUUAUUGUUGAAUCAGUGUUUUUAUUUUUAUUUU